This 396-nucleotide ribosomal RNA is filed under the name uncultured bacterium. Its description in RNAcentral is "partial 16S ribosomal RNA". It matches the Rfam family "Bacterial small subunit ribosomal RNA", at positions 338 to 731 of the family's 1533-position model. The record is from RNAcentral.
CCUACGGGUGGCAGCAGUGAGGAAUAUUGGUCAAUGGGCGUAAGCCUGAACCAGCCAAGUCGCGUGAAGGAUGAAGGUCCUAUGGAUUGUAAACCUCUUUUAUAAGGGAAUAAAGUGUGGCACGUGUCCCAUUUUGUAUGUACCUUAUGAAUAAGGAUCGGCUAACUCCGUGCCAGCAGCCGCGGUAAUACGGAGGAUCCGAGCGUUAUCCGGAUUUAUUGGGUUUAAAGGGUGCGUAGGCGGCUUUUUAAGUCAGCGGUGAAAGUUUGUGGCUCAACCAUAGAAUUGCCGUUGAAACUGGGAGGCUUGAGUAUAUUUGAGGCAGGCGGAAUGCGUGGUGUAGCGGUGAAAUGCUUAGAUAUCACGCAGAACCCCGAUUGCGAAGGCAGCUUACCA